RNAcentral lists this unclassified non-coding RNA (347 nucleotides) under soil metagenome. RNAcentral's name for it is "partial contains 5.8S ribosomal RNA, internal transcribed spacer 2, and large subunit ribosomal RNA". The stretch from base 1 to 120 matches the Rfam family "5.8S ribosomal RNA", at positions 35 to 154 of the family's 154-position model. The record is from RNAcentral.
GAUGAAGAACGUAGCGAAAUGCGAUAAUUAAUGUGAAUUGCAGAAUUUAGUGAAUCAUCGAAUCUUUGAACGCACAUUGCGCCCUCUGGUAUUCCGGAGGGCAUGCCUGUCCGAGCGUCAUUGCUGCCCUCCAGCCCGGCUGGUGUGUUGGGCCCCGUCCCCCUUCCCGGGGGGACGGGCCCGAAAGGCAGCGGCGGCACCGCGUCCGGUCCUCGAGCGUAUGGGGCUUUGUCACCCGCUCUUGUAGGCCCGGCCGGCGCCAGCCGACCCCCUCAAUCUAUUUUUCAGGUUGACCUCGGAUCAGGUAGGGAUACCCGCUGAACUUAAGCAUAUCAAUAAGCGGAGGA